This 497-nucleotide ribosomal RNA is filed under the name uncultured bacterium. RNAcentral describes it as "partial 16S ribosomal RNA". It matches the Rfam family "Bacterial small subunit ribosomal RNA", at positions 28 to 507 of the family's 1533-position model. The record is from RNAcentral.
GAUGAACGCUGGCGGCGUGCCUAAUACAUGCAAGUCGAGCGAACGGACGAGAAGCUUGCUUCUCUGAUGUUAGCGGCGGACGGGUGAGUCACACGUGGAUAACCUACCUAUAAGACUGGGAUAACUUCGGGAAACCGGAGCUAAUACCGGAUAAUAUUUUGAACCGCAUGGUUCAAAAGUGAUAGACGGUCUUGCUGUCACUUAUAGAUGGAUCCGCGCUGCAUUAGCUAGUUGGUAAGGUAACGGCUUACCAAGGCAACGAUGCAUAGCCGACCUGAGAGGGUGAUCGGCCACACUGGAACUGAGACACGGUCCAGACUCCUACGGGAGGCAGCAGUAGGGAAGCUUCCGCAAUGGGCGAAAGCCUGACGGAGCAACGCCGCGUGAGUGAUGAAGGGCUUCGGAUCGUAAAACUCUGUUAUGAGGGAAGAACAUAUGUGUAAGUAACUGUGCACAUCUUGACGGUACCUAAGCAGAAAGCCACGGCUAACUACGUG